Molecule: long non-coding RNA, 1147 nt
Filed under: Homo sapiens (human)
Lineage: Eukaryota; Metazoa; Chordata; Mammalia; Primates; Hominidae
Description: HSALNT0233788
Source: RNAcentral
GAAAGACCAGCCAUCUACAGAUUGCGUUCAAGCAGCCAGACCAGGGGAGAACUAAACCAAACACCUCCUCAGUCUCAACCCUGACUAUGGGUCCAACCAGCAAGUUCACAUUGAGAAGAAAUGAAUGAUUUUCACUGCAGUCUGAAAAAAAGCUGAGACAUGAGUGGUGUCUGCGCAGGUCAUCAAACUUUGCAAAAUAUAGGAGAAAGAAAAUCUAAUUACUUUGAAGAUGCUCUGUGAAUUAACUAGGGAGGGUUUGGACCAUGAGAGGUUCAUCUUCUGAUGAGCAAGAACCAUGGAGAGCAGCCUGGAUGGCCGACUGGACAAAGAAAGACCCAGAUUAGAGUCUCAGCAACUGUGCUGUGUGACCCUGUGCAAGUUACUAAACUUCUCUGAGCCACAAGGGCUUUAUCUGUAGAAAAGAUAUAUUAAUACUUCUUUGAAAGUUUGUGCUGGAGAUUGGAAUACGUCAACAAACUGUUAGCACAGGUCUUCAUGUAGGUCAUCAUACAAAUGUUCAAAAAAGGUAGAAAUUUUUCUCCUGGGUAAUGCAUCUGAAAAUUCAGACAGCAUUGUCUACUCUUUCUCCUGACAAUCUAGGUUGAAUUGCAUGGAUGGAGAUGAUUCACAUCAAUAUUGUCAUCCCAAAGAAGCUAUUUCUUCUUGCUAUCUCAUCCCAUAAAAAGCCCUGAUUCCUGUCUUUGCUACUGUCUGAUUGUCCCAUUCUUCCUUCGAUCCUACAAGCAAGACUACAUGUUUCUACUAAAUUUCUUUUUGCUAAUUACUCAGAGAAGUAGCUUGCAUCUAAAAAUCUUUAACAGAUUCAGUUAAUAUUGUUAACAUUAUGAGCAGUGUUUGUAUCCCUAAUUGCUAUUAUUAACAUUAUUAUGUAUUCUUUUUAUACUUAGUGGUAGUAGUGUUAACAUCUUUCUUAGUGCUGUGAAAGUCUUAACUGGGCCCUAAGUUUGGGGUUGAUAGAGAAUGGGAUUGGGGCAGGCAUGGUGGCUCACGUGUGUAAUCCCAGUACUUUGGGAGGCCAAGGCAGGCGAAUCACUUGAGGUCAGGAGUUCAAGAUCAGCCUUACACAGCAAAUCCCCAUCUCUACUAAAAAUACAAAAAUUAGCUGGGUGAGGUGAUGCACGCCUGU